This 219-nucleotide long non-coding RNA is filed under the name Brassica rapa (field mustard). Its description in RNAcentral is "long non-coding RNA (BRAP_LNC007376)". The record is from RNAcentral. Lineage: Eukaryota; Viridiplantae; Streptophyta; Magnoliopsida; Brassicales; Brassicaceae.
UUAAUACAAAGGUAUAAUGUGGUUUUAAAUUUUAAAACAAAUUUAAAGAUUAUAGGCUUCAUAUAUAGAGCAUUUACCGAAAACUCACUAUUUUCGUAGGGGUUAACACAUAGAUUUUGAAAAAAAAUUAAAAAAAUUGAAAAUACUUUUUUAAUACAUAUUUGAAUCAUGUAAUUAAAUAUGAUGAAGUUCAAAGAGGUUUGGAACCUUUGUUGUCUC